GCAGCACGGGAGCAAUCCUGGUGGCGAGUGGCGAACGGGUGAGUAAUAUAUCGGAACGUGCCCAGUCGUGGGGGAUAACGUAGCGAAAGUUACGCUAAUACCGCAUACGAUCUACGGAUGAAAGCGGGGGAUCGCAAGACCUCGCGCGAUUGGAGCGGCCGAUAUCAGAUUAGCUUGUUGGUGGGGUAAAAGCCCACCAAGGCGACGAUCUGUAGCUGGUCUGAGAGGACGACCAGCCACACUGGGACUGAGACACGGCCCAGACUCCUACGGGAGGCAGCAGUGGGGAAUUUUGGACAAUGGGCGCAAGCCUGAUCCAGCAAUGCCGCGUGCAGGAUGAAGGCCUUCGGGUUGUAAACUGCUUUUGUACGGAACGAAACGGUCCUUUCUAAUACAAGGGGCUAAUGACGGUACCGUAAGAAUAAGCACCGGCUAACUACGUGCCAGCAGCCGCGGUAAUACGUAGGGUGCGAGCGUUAAUCGGAAUUACUGGGCGUAAAGCGUGCGCAGGCGGUUUUGUAAGACAGAUGUGAAAUCCCCGGGCUCAACCUGGGACCUGCAUUUGUGACUGCAAGGCUGGAGUACGGUAGAGGGGGAUGGAAUUCCGCGUGUAGCAGUGAAAUGCGUAGAUAUGCGGAGGAACACCGAUG
RNAcentral lists this ribosomal RNA (650 nucleotides) under uncultured bacterium. Its description in RNAcentral is "bacterial SSU rRNA". It matches the Rfam family "Bacterial small subunit ribosomal RNA", at positions 69 to 714 of the family's 1533-position model. The record is from RNAcentral.